GGCUUAGGUGCUGCUGUGAUAUCAAAAGAUCUGGAAAGGUGUGAUCGUGUAAGCAAGGCUUUCCGGGCAGGUAUCGUAUGGAUCAAUUGCUCACAGCCAUGCUUCUGUCAAGCUCCAUGGGGAGGCCUCAAGCGUAGUGGUUUUGGUCGUGAAUUAGGAGAAUGGGGACUUGAGAACUACUUGAGUGUGAAGCAGGUGACU
This 201-nucleotide unclassified non-coding RNA is filed under the name Hevea brasiliensis (rubber tree). Lineage: Eukaryota; Viridiplantae; Streptophyta; Magnoliopsida; Malpighiales; Euphorbiaceae. The record is from RNAcentral.